CAUGCCAGUCGAACGAAGCACCCCUCCCGAAGAUUGACACAGCUUGCUGUAGAUUGAUUCAUUUGAGGUGACUGAGUGGCGGACGGGUGAGUAACGCGUGGGUAACCUGCCUCAUAGAGGGGGACAACAGUUGGAAACGACUGCUAAUACCGCAUAGUAAGAAAGAUUCGCAUGUUUCUUUCUUGAAAGAUUUAUCGCUAUGAGAUGGACCCGCGUCUGAUUAGCUAGUUGGUAAGGUAACGGCUUACCAAGGCGAUGAUCAGUAGCCGGCUUGAGAGAGUGAACGGCCACAUUGGGACUGAGACACGGCCCAAACUCCUACGGGAGGCAGCAGUGGGGAAUAUUGCACAAUGGGGGAAACCCUGAUGCAGCGACGCCGCGUGAGUGAAGAAGUAUUUCGGUAUGUAAAGCUCUAUCAGCAGGGAAGAUAAUGACGGUACCUGACUAAGAAGCCCCGGCUAACUACGUGCCAGCAGCCGCGGUAAUACGUAGGGGGCAAGCGUUAUCCGGAUUUACUGGGUGUAAAGGGUGCGUAGGUGGCAAGGCAAGUCAGAUGUGAAAGCCCGGGGCUCAACCCCGGUACUGCAUUUGAAACUGUUCUAGCUAGAGUGCAGGAGAGGUAAGCGGAAUUCCUAGUGUAGCGGUGAAAUGCGUAGAUAUUAGGAGGAACACCAGUGGCGAAGGCG
Molecule: ribosomal RNA, 686 nt
Filed under: uncultured bacterium
Lineage: Bacteria
Description: bacterial SSU rRNA
Rfam family: Bacterial small subunit ribosomal RNA
Source: RNAcentral